RNAcentral lists this transfer RNA (77 nucleotides) under Escherichia coli. Its description in RNAcentral is "tRNA-Met". The record is from RNAcentral. Lineage: Bacteria; Pseudomonadati; Pseudomonadota; Gammaproteobacteria; Enterobacterales; Enterobacteriaceae.
ACCGUGAAUAAAUCCAGCGUAGACGCCCGGUACGCUAACAAUGCCGCCACGCCUGACCGCCGCAAUACACUGGCGCA